UGAGCAAUCUGCCCUUCUCAUCGGAAUAAGCGUUGGAAACGACGUCUAAUGCCGAAUACGACCUCCUUUCGCAUGAUCGGAGGUGGAAAGCUCCGGCGGAGAAGGAUGAGCUCGCGGCCUAUCAGCUAGUUGGUGUGGGUAAUGGCCCACCAAGGCGACGAUCGGUAGCUGGUCUGAGAGGACGAUCAGCCACACUGGGACUGAGACACGGCCCAGACUCCG
This 222-nucleotide ribosomal RNA is filed under the name uncultured bacterium. RNAcentral's name for it is "partial 16S ribosomal RNA". It matches the Rfam family "Bacterial small subunit ribosomal RNA", at positions 118 to 340 of the family's 1533-position model. The record is from RNAcentral.